GAACGCAGCGAAACGCGAUAGGUAAUGUGAAUUGCAGAAUUCCGUGAAUCAUCGAAUCUUUGAACGCACCUUGCGCUCCAUGGUAUUCCGUGGAGCAUGCCUGUUUGAGUGCCGCGAAUUCUCCCUCCCCUUACGGUGGCCGAAAGGCCGAAGUAGGGCGGACGGGGUAGGAUGGGUGUUUGCUGCCUGGGGAUUGUACCAGGCUCGCCCGAAAUGCAUAAGCGCCAGGACCCUCGCUACCGCUCUCUAGGGAAGAGUGGCUAAGCGACCGCUGAGCAUGGCAUGAUACGUCAUUUGCUGUGUGUGGGCGGCCGGUUGGAGAGGUGUCUGCUUUACCAGCCCUAUUUUAAUUCUGGUCUCAAAUCAGGUAGGAUCACCCGCUGAACUUAAGCAUAUCA
Molecule: ribosomal RNA, 398 nt
Filed under: Malassezia sympodialis
Lineage: Eukaryota; Fungi; Basidiomycota; Malasseziomycetes; Malasseziales; Malasseziaceae
Description: eukaryotic LSU rRNA
Rfam family: 5.8S ribosomal RNA (bases 1-114)
Source: RNAcentral